CUUUGCAACCUUCUGUAGCUGCCACAGCCAACACCAGCACUCUUCCCACUGUUACCACUGCCCCCCCUGCUGCUUUUCAUAACAUCCCCUCAGUCAACGAAGGUUGGAGCCAGCUAGCAGCCAUGCACUGUGUGAUGCUCCCUGACCUCCUUGGACUGGACAAGUUCAGACCUCCUCUGCUAGAGAUGUUGGCGAGAAGAUGGCAGGACCGCUGUCUGGAGGUGCGUGAAGCAGCUCAAGCUCUCUUACUGGCUGAGUUGAGGCGGAUUGGCCAAUCAGGACGUAAAGACACCAUUGACUUGUGGGCUCCAUACCUGCCUCAGUAUGUGGACACUGUCAGCUCCCGUAAGUACCCA
Long non-coding RNA from Notothenia coriiceps (black rockcod), 356 nucleotides. RefSeq lists it as uncharacterized. The transcript is spliced from 3 exons. The record is from RefSeq and is a predicted model, not a curated record. NCBI's taxonomy places the organism in Eukaryota, Metazoa, Chordata, Actinopteri, Perciformes, Nototheniidae.